Molecule: ribosomal RNA, 426 nt
Filed under: uncultured bacterium
Lineage: Bacteria
Description: bacterial SSU rRNA
Rfam family: Bacterial small subunit ribosomal RNA
Source: RNAcentral
GAUCAGCCACACUGGAACUGACACACGGUCCAGACUCCUACGGGAGGCAGCAGUGAGGAAUUAUGCGCAAUGGAGGGAACCCUGACGCAGCAACGCCGCGUGAGUGAAGAAGGCCUUCGGGUCGUAAAGCUCUGUCGAGUGGGAAGAACCUUCGUAUGUUGAAUAUGCAUACGGACUGACGGUACCACAGAAGGAAGCACCGGCUAACUCCGUGCCAGCAGCCGCGGUAAUACCGAGGGUGCAAGCGUUAUUCGGAAUUAUUGGGCGUAAAGAGCCCGUAGGCGGCUUUGCAAGUCAGGUGUGAAAUCCCGGAGCUCAACCCCGGAAGAGCAUUUGAUACUGUGGAGCUUGAGUAUGGGAGAGGGAAGUGGAAUUCCUGGUGUAGCGGUGAAAUGCGUAGAUAUCAGGAGGAACACCGGUGGCGAA